Molecule: long non-coding RNA, 353 nt
Filed under: Triticum aestivum (bread wheat)
Lineage: Eukaryota; Viridiplantae; Streptophyta; Magnoliopsida; Poales; Poaceae
Description: long non-coding RNA (TAES_LNC001996)
Source: RNAcentral
GGUCGGAUGCGAGGCGGUACAGAGGACGCGGCCGCCGGAUCCGUUCGAAGAUGGGCGGCGCUGGGGAUACCUGAGCCGCAUGCGCGGGGAAAUGGACCUCUCGUCAUGCUUCCUGUACAGAGAAGACGAGAUCUGAGAGAGGGAAAUAGAGGAGGAGGAAGGAAUGAGAGGGAGCAGGAGAGGAAAGAGGCGCGAGGGUCUGCGGGCUCGUCUCACCGGAUCCUCGCCGGAAGUGCACGGGCGCGGCGGCUCUGGCCCGAUCGGGAGGGGCCUGCAGCGAUGCGUGGGAGAAAGGAGUGGAGUGGGAAAAGAGCGGCGCGGGGGAGAAGAUGACUCGCAAGAGGGAGGACGGG